Molecule: ribosomal RNA, 1338 nt
Filed under: Isoptericola dokdonensis
Lineage: Bacteria; Bacillati; Actinomycetota; Actinomycetes; Micrococcales; Promicromonosporaceae
Description: bacterial SSU rRNA
Rfam family: Bacterial small subunit ribosomal RNA
Source: RNAcentral
CCUUCGGGGUGGAUCAGUGGCGAACGGGUGAGUAACACGUGAGCAACCUGCCCUCCACUUCGGGAUAAGCCUUGGAAACGGGGUCUAAUACCGGAUAUGAGCUCUGCCUGCAUGGGUGGGGUUGGAAAGUUUUUCGGUGGGGGAUGGGCUCGCGGCCUAUCAGCUUGUUGGUGGGGUAAUGGCCUACCAAGGCGUCGACGGGUAGCCGGCCUGAGAGGGCGACCGGCCACACUGGGACUGAGACACGGCCCAGACUCCUACGGGAGGCAGCAGUGGGGAAUAUUGCACAAUGGGCGAAAGCCUGAUGCAGCGACGCCGCGUGAGGGAUGACGGCCUUCGGGUUGUAAACCUCUUUCAGCAGGGAAGAAGCGUAAGUGACGGUACCUGCAGAAGAAGCGCCGGCUAACUACGUGCCAGCAGCCGCGGUAAUACGUAGGGCGCAAGCGUUGUCCGGAAUUAUUGGGCGUAAAGAGCUCGUAGGCGGUCUGUCGCGUCUGGUGUGAAAUCCCGAGGCUCAACCUCGGGCUUGCAUCGGGUACGGGCAGGCUAGAGUGCUGUAGGGGAGACUGGAAUUCUGGUGUAGCGGUGGAAUGCGCAGAUAUCAGGAGGAACACCGAUGGCGAAGGCAGGUCUCUGGGCAGCUACUGACGCUGAGGAGCGAAAGCAUGGGGAGCGAACAGGAUUAGAUACCCUGGUAGUCCAUGCCGUAAACGUUGGGCACUAGGUGUGGGACCCAUUCCACGGGUUCCGUGCCGCAGCUAACGCAUUAAGUGCCCCGCCUGGGGAGUACGGCCGCAAGGCUAAAACUCAAAGGAAUUGACGGGGGCCCGCACAAGCGGCGGAGCAUGCGGAUUAAUUCGAUGCAACGCGAAGAACCUUACCAAGGCUUGACAUGAACCGGAAAAGUGCAGAGAUGUGCUCCCCGUAAGGUCGGUUCACAGGUGGUGCAUGGUUGUCGUCAGCUCGUGUCGUGAGAUGUUGGGUUAAGUCCCGCAACGAGCGCAACCCUCGUCCCAUGUUGCCAGCGGGUUAUGCCGGGGACUCAUGGGAGACUGCCGGGGUCAACUCGGAGGAAGGUGGGGAUGACGUCAAAUCAUCAUGCCCCUUAUGUCUUGGGCUUCACGCAUGCUACAAUGGCCGGUACAGAGGGCUGCGAUACCGUAAGGUGGAGCGAAUCCCAAAAAGCCGGUCUCAGUUCGGAUUGGGGUCUGCAACUCGACCCCAUGAAGUCGGAGUCGCUAGUAAUCGCAGAUCAGCAACGCUGCGGUGAAUACGUUCCCGGGCCUUGUACACACCGCCCGUCAAGUCACGAAAGUUGGUAACACCCGAAGCUCCAUG